This 2461-nucleotide long non-coding RNA is filed under the name Lotus japonicus. RNAcentral's name for it is "long non-coding RNA (LJAP_LNC000262)". The record is from RNAcentral. Lineage: Eukaryota; Viridiplantae; Streptophyta; Magnoliopsida; Fabales; Fabaceae.
GCUUCAAUGCUAGAAAUCACACUAAUAACCCAAAAAAAGCAUAAUCUCAAAAACAAAAAACAAAUUAAUAUUUUGAUUAAAAAAGAAUUGAAAUGUAAUCGCAUAAAUCGGCUCCGAAGAUCAUGAAUAUAUGAGAUCUGCAGGUUCCUAUCAGGAUGCGAAACAAGUGAAAUUCACUCUUGUUCUUGGUCCAAUCAUAGCAUCGUUGGUCACUGCUAUUUAGCUACCAUCGACGUGGCAUCGGACCAUAAAAAAAUAUGGAACUAAACAAAACUAACAGAUUACGAAAAUUUUAAAAAAUAACCCUCAGCGACCCGUUCCAAAUCACACACGCAGCGCCGAAAAAGAAAGAUCCCGACCAAUAACAGUAACUCACUAAGAGUGUACUGCUAUCGGUGGAUGAGAUCAGUUCUUUGAAUCGGCGCUGCGUUUAAAGUGUCAUACGGCACUUCCUAUCUAUAUUUGGGAGAUCCUCCUCACAGGGAAUGAACCAAGAAUCAAAACUGGAAUAGAGAAACAAAACACAAUACAGAAACUGAGAGAUGAGUGAAGAAAAAAGAGACAAUCUAUGUAACAUAGAGCAUAACGCUGGAGCCACUGUUUAUUGGUGAAGGAUUGUGUUUGUUAGGGUUCUGGGGGUGAUAUUUAUAGGAGGCGUGUGCAAAUAUUAGGUCAAGUUCUGCUACUGAAAUGGUUGAAUAUUUUUUUUAUGCGGCCCAAAGAAAGAUUGGUUGAGAAACAAUGUGUCCCUAACUUGGGCUUUGUACAAGAUAACCAAAAAAACAGAAGAGCCCAGUCUGGACACUCACUUAACAAGUGGGGAAUGAGAAUUGAGAAGUACUAUCUUUGACGGAAAAAAAAAUAUAUUCAAUCUACUUUAGGGAAUACUAAUUUUUACACACCCCUGAAAUACUUUUUACACACAUUGAAUCCUCUUUUCCCCAAAAUACCCCUAUUUUAAAUGAACCCUCUAUUUUCUCACUUCAUUCUACACCCUCAUCUCUUUUUAUCUCAUUUUGCUCUCUAACUCUUUAAUGCUACAUCAUCCACCAUCUAAUGGAAAAUUGUUUCUUUCACUCUCUAUUUCAAGUGGUAGGAGAUGGUAGAAUAAGGAAUAGUUAGGGGGUGAGAUAAGUUAGGUAAGAUCAGGCCAAACUAACUCAAUUACUCUAAAGUAGUUAAAAUGCACUAUUAUAAAGUGUUGUUGAAAAUAAUAACUUAAAUUACUCAAAAACAACCCAAGUGCAUCAUUACAACAAGAAUUCUUCAGGGAUCUCAGUACUUAAAAUGGUAUCAUAAUGCACCAUUAUAAACAAUCAAAAUGACAUCAAAUCUGAGUAAUUCAAUUAACUCUUCAAUGAUUGGAGUACAACAAAGUGCACUCAUAAUAAGAAAAGAUGUCAACAAAAAAUAUCACAUACGAGUACUAAAAAACUGAGCCAAACAUCAGAUCCUUCCUAAACAGUCCCAACAAAAAAAAAUUAAAAUGGCAUAAGAACUUCACCCAACUUCAAAGUAAGAAAAUAAUGUCACUGAAAAAUAUUUUGAUAAUAGUUAUGUUAGAGAUAAGAAAAAACUUAUAAAAAGUGACUUCUUCAAUAGACUAUACUUAUGACGCAACCAAUCUCCUCCACAAAUGAGUGCUUCGACUUUAGAAUGAAAUUCAUCAAUGACUCGCCCUCUUGCACUUAAUGUAGACUUUGAUGCCACUGUGGAGAUGAGUAUAACCAUUAUAUCUGCAAUCAUCUUGGAUAAGAUCUUAUACUUUAAGUUGUUGUUCAUCCACCCCUUUAAUACACAUGACGGUAAUUCCAAUUCAAUCUAAUCCUCAUAGGCUUCAAUGCUAGAAAUCACACUAAUAACCCAAAAAAAGCAUAAUCUCAAAAACAAAAAACAAAUUAAUAUUUUGAUUAAAAAAGAAUUGAAAUGUAAUCGCAUAAAUCGGCUCCGAAGAUCAUGAAUAUAUGAGAUCUGCAGGUUCCUAUCAGGAUGCGAAACAAGUGAAAUUCACUCUUGUUCUUGGUCCAAUCAUAGCAUCGUUGGUCACUGCUAUUUAGCUACCAUCGACGUGGCAUCGGACCAUAAAAAAAUAUGGAACUAAACAAAACUAACAGAUUACGAAAAUUUUAAAAAAUAACCCUCAGCGACCCGUUCCAAAUCACACACGCAGCGCCGAAAAAGAAAGAUCCCGACCAAUAACAGUAACUCACUAAGAGUGUACUGCUAUCGGUGGAUGAGAUCAGUUCUUUGAAUCGGCGCUGCGUUUAAAGUGUCAUACGGCACUUCCUAUCUAUAUUUGGGAGAUCCUCCUCACAGGGAAUGAACCAAGAAUCAAAACUGGAAUAGAGAAACAAAACACAAUACAGAAACUGAGAGAUGAGUGAAGAAAAAAGAGACAAUCUAUGUAACAUAGAGCAUAACGCUGGAGCCACUGUUUAUUGGUGAAGGAUUGUGUUUGUUA